Molecule: ribosomal RNA, 207 nt
Filed under: uncultured bacterium
Lineage: Bacteria
Description: partial 16S ribosomal RNA
Rfam family: Bacterial small subunit ribosomal RNA
Source: RNAcentral
UGCGCAGGCGGUUUGACAAGUCGUAUGUGAAAUACCAGGGCUUAACUCUGGGGCUGCAUACGAAACUGUCGGACUUGAGUACAGGAGAGGCAAGCGGAAUUCCUAGUGUAGCGGUGAAAUGCAUAGAUAUUAGGAGGAACACCAGUGGCGAAGGCGGCUUGCUGGACUGAAACUGACGCUGAGGCACGAAAGCGUGGGGAGCAAACA